RNAcentral lists this ribosomal RNA (434 nucleotides) under uncultured bacterium. RNAcentral describes it as "bacterial SSU rRNA". It matches the Rfam family "Bacterial small subunit ribosomal RNA", at positions 355 to 786 of the family's 1533-position model. The record is from RNAcentral.
UGAGGAAUAUUGGUCAAUGGGCGAGAGCCUGAACCAGCCAAGUAGCGUGAAGGAUGACUGCCCUAUGGGUUGUAAACUUCUUUUAUAAAGGAAUAAAGUCGGGUAUGGAUACCCGUUUGCAUGUACUUUAUGAAUAAGGAUCGGCUAACUCCGUGCCAGCAGCCGCGGUAAUACGGAGGAUCCGAGCGUUAUCCGGAUUUAUUGGGUUUAAAGGGAGCGUAGAUGGAUGUUUAAGUCAGUUGUGAAAGUUUGCGGCUCAACCGUAAAAUUGCAGUUGAUACUGGAUAUCUUGAGUGCAGUUGAGGCAGGCGGAAUUCGUGGUGUAGCGGUGAAAUGCUUAGAUAUCACGAAGAACUCCGAUUGCGAAGGCAGCCUGCUAAGCUGCAACUGACAUUGAGGCUCGAAAGUGUGGGUAUCAAACAGGAUUAGAUACC